GAGUUUGAUCGUGGCUCAGAUUGAACGCUGGCGGCAUGCCUUACACAUGCAAGUCGAACGGCAGCACGGGAGCUUGCUCCUGGUGGCGAGUGGCGAACGGGUGAGUAAUGCAUCGGAACGUAUCCUGGAGUGGGGGAUAACGUAGCGAAAGUUACGCUAAUACCGCAUAUUCUGUGAGCAGGAAGGCGGGGGACCUUCGGGCCUCGCGCUCUUGGAGCGGCCGAUGUCGGAUUAGCUAGUUGGUGAGGUAAAGGCUCACCAAGGCGACGAUCCGUAGCAGGUCUGAGAGGAUGAUCUGCCACACUGGAACUGAGACACGGUCCAGACUCCUACGGGAGGCAGCAGUGGGAUUUGGACAAUGGGGGCAACCCUGAUCCAGCCAUGCCGCGUGAGUGAAGAAGGCC
Molecule: ribosomal RNA, 404 nt
Filed under: bacterium enrichment culture clone ALO1_GLFRUDD03FXXI9
Lineage: Bacteria
Description: bacterial SSU rRNA
Rfam family: Bacterial small subunit ribosomal RNA
Source: RNAcentral